Molecule: ribosomal RNA, 725 nt
Filed under: Salmonella enterica subsp. enterica serovar Typhimurium
Lineage: Bacteria; Pseudomonadati; Pseudomonadota; Gammaproteobacteria; Enterobacterales; Enterobacteriaceae
Description: partial 23S ribosomal RNA
Rfam family: Bacterial large subunit ribosomal RNA
Source: RNAcentral
GGGUUGUGAGGUUAAGCGACUAAGCGUACACGGUGGAUGCCCUGGCAGUCAGAGGCGAUGAAGGGCGUGCUAAUCUGCGAUAAGCGCCGGUAAGGUGAUAUGAACCGUUAUAACCGGCGAUACCCGAAUGGGGAAACCCAGUGUGAUUCGUCACACUAUCAUUACGUGAAUACAUAGCGUAAUGAAGCGAACCGGGGGAACUGAAACAUCUAAGUACCCCGAGGAAAAGAAAUCAACCGAGAUUCCCCCAGUAGCGGCGAGCGAACGGGGAGGAGCCCAGAGCCUGAAUCAGCAUGUGUGUUAGUGGAAGCGUCUGGAAAGGCGCGCGAUACAGGGUGACAGCCCCGUACACAAAAGCGCAUGUGUUGUGAGCUCGAUGAGUAGGGCGGGACACGUGGUAUCCUGUCUGAAUAUGGGGGGACCAUCCUCCAAGGCUAAAUACUCCUGACUGACCGAUAGUGAACCAGUACCGUGAGGGAAAGGCGAAAAGAACCCCGGCGAGGGGAGUGAAAAAGAACCUGAAACCGUGUACGUACAAGCAGUGGGAGCACCCUUUGGGGUGUGACUGCGUACCUUUUGUAUAAUGGGUCAGCGACUUAUAUUCUGUAGCAAGGUUAACCGAAUAGGGGAGCCGGAGGGAAACCGAGUCUUAAUUGGGCGUUAAGUUGCAGGGUAUAGACCCGAAACCCGGUGAUCUAGCCAUGGGCAGGUUGAAGGUUGGGUAA